RNAcentral lists this long non-coding RNA (504 nucleotides) under Gadus morhua (Atlantic cod). Its description in RNAcentral is "lncRNA (ENSGMOG00000022959.1)". The record is from RNAcentral. Lineage: Eukaryota; Metazoa; Chordata; Actinopteri; Gadiformes; Gadidae.
AUGCCGGUGUACCUGGGAAGGCUGCAGAUCUCUCUGAGCUGGAUCUUAAGAACGUGUGCUCAGACUGUCCCGCCGGCCCACCCGGAACCCCCGGCCUGCCCGGCGUUCUGGGAGAGAAGGGACACAACGGCCUCCCCGGGAAGAGCGGUCAAGAUGGCUACCCAGGCCAGGUGGGGCCGACGGGGCCCGCGGGGCCCCCAGGGGCCGACGGGACCAAGGCAAGUGGAUCAUCCUUAUGGGGCCUCCAGGGAGAGACCCCGUGGCUCUCCCCCCGCCGAAGCCCACGGUAGCACAUCUCAAAAUAGUUCUCUGUCGAGGAUCAACUCUAAAAUGUAUUUUCUUUUCCGCCCUGAACAAACUGAAGGGAAUCAAAGGAGACCGUGGACCCGCCGGGACCAACGGAGACAAGGGGGAGAAGGUAGGCCCACAACCCCCCAUUGGGCUGAUUCACUUGUCUGUGAAUAUACCAGUGAACCUCUGGAGUCAUCACUUUCUCCUCUUUAA